CACGCGCUCCCACGGUAGCUCAGUGUUUUAUGUCUGCGUCACAACAAGUCGGCGGAGGGCGAGAGGCAGAGGGAUGAUGGCGUCUCUGGCGGCUUGAUUCCGGCGCAGCUCAGACGAAAUCCGCCUUAAUCAGCUUCGGCGGCUGGGAGAGGGCUGAGGUGUGAGGAGGUGAGAGAGCAACAGCGACGGGGACACGAUGAAACGGCGCCGCGGAGAAAGGACGGACAAACUCGUCUGAGAGAGACGGACGGACGGACGGACGCCUCCUCCUCCUCCUCCUCCUCCUCCUCUCUGCUGACGGUUUGACUGACACACACACACACAAACACACACACACACACACAGUCACAGAGAGGCGCCUGGCAAAGGCACAGACAUACAUGCACACCAGCCACUUUUUGCCACCCAGCACGCUGCGCGCCGGAGCCGGCCGGCGUUAAUUGGACGUCCCCGGCUGAUGAAGGCACUUCCACGUCCAGCCUGUCCAGGAAUCACAGUGACCCCGACGGAGAGGAGUUCGACUUGACAGGAUGGGGGGAGUCAGUGAGGGAGAUGAUGUGUUGGCUCGUUGGAGUGAUGGACUACUCUACCUCGGCAAUGUGAAGAGGGUCGACGGAGUCAAGCAGUGCUGUUUGGUGAGAUUUGAGGACAACUCUGAGUUCUGGGUGCUGAGAAAGGACAUUCAUUCGUUCUCAGCCGGAGUGGAGGAAGUUUGCUGUAUUUGCGACGCCCCGCCUCUUAAAGAACCC
Molecule: long non-coding RNA, 749 nt
Organism: Fundulus heteroclitus (mummichog)
Lineage: Eukaryota; Metazoa; Chordata; Actinopteri; Cyprinodontiformes; Fundulidae
Exons: 4
Source: RefSeq, a predicted model, not a curated record